UGUUAUAACCCCCCCCUUCCCCUUCUCUUCUUUCUCAUUCACCCAUUCAUCAUCACAACCACAACACUAUCUUCUCUUCCUUUCUCUCUCUCUCUGUCUCUCUCAGACCCCCCUUGAAGAUAGCCAAGACUCGUGGGGGAGGGAUAGAGAGUAGUAGUGAGUGAGUGAGCCAUGAAAAUUAACAAAUUAAACCCUCUCUCUCUCUCUCUCUCUACCUCUUUCUGAGCGGUUCAACAAGAAAGAAGGGCCAUUUGAGAAGGAAGCUUUGUGUUUUGAGGGGAAUGUUGUCUGGCUCGAGGACCCUUCUUCUUCUUGAUCUUGUGUAGACUGCUAUACCUGUGGUCAAGGAAUGCUUAGUGUUUUCGGACCAGGCUUCAUUCCCCCCAAUUAUAUGCUUCCAAAUUCUUUUCAACCGAAAACCCCUAUCUUCCGAUCGAGAUUCAUCCGACCAGAAACUGACUUCGCUCAACAGAUGUUUUUUCAUAUGUAUAAACCUGGGAUCCAACCAUGGUAACAAAGUAUCAUACUAUCUUGUAGCAUCUGCUAAUGGAGUGCUUUAUAGGUAGAUCUGAGUCGUGGGGUUUGGUUUUUGGAUGAAUUAAAGAUGUUGGCAGUUUGCAGAUUGGUGUAAUGAUGAAGCAUUUUGACCUGGGGGUGGUUUCACUUGUGCGCAAAAGGUUUUCAUCAUUACUUCCUUUUCGUUUCUCUCUUUUUCUCUGAUCAAGUUAUGAUGGUGUUUUUGUUGUCAGGGUGUAACUACCUUUUUCUUCCUUCAUCAUUAGCCAGAUCUUCUCCCAAUUAUGUUUUCCAGUAUCCGAUCUGUCUGUUUCUGCCAUGUUUUCUCAGAUCUGGCCACCUUUGAAACUCAGCUAAACAUUCUCCUCUUUUUCAAGCCCCUCCCCCUCCGCCUCCCCCCCUUUUCUUUCAUUCGACCUUUCUCUCUCUACCUAGUUUCUCUCUCUAUUUAGGGUUUCGUGGCCUAUGUUAUGUCUCUAAUCUCUAUGAUUUACUUUUAUUAUGUUAAGCUGGUCCUUGAGUCUUAUAUGAAGAAGAAGAGAGUGGAUGACACCCCUUUUACUUUUAUUAUUAUUAACUAUUUUCAUUAAUCAUUUCACCAUUGUCAAACCGUGUUGUGGUCAAAUCGAGUCUUAAUUUGAUUAAAUGUGCCAUCUGUAACCAGAAUGAACAUAUGUAGCGUCAAGAGCCUUGUAGACUCCGCCCUCUGCCCUCUCUUUAUUGGAUUUUUGUGCUUCAAGUGGUCAAAAACUUGUUUCUUAAUUAAUUCCCCUUUAUUAUAAGAAACCAAUCAAGGUCUUUAAUGUGAUUUGUUACAUAAAUUGAUGAUCCUUGAAUCUGUUCUUGUUAUUAUGGGUAGCAUUUAGCUUCCUUCUAUGGCUGGAUUUAGUAAUGUCACACAGAUCUAUACUUUUUUCUGUUUGCUUUGUCAUUCGUUUUCAGUUCAAUUUGUUACUAAAAUGGGUAGAUCUGAGCAGUGAUGAUACAGAAUAGAAUCAGUUUUUCUUGUGGGUGCUGCUGAACAGUGUAAGUUUUUCAAUGGACAGCUUUAAUGUUUCCCUGGCUUUGAUAUCCCACAUUUGAUAACUGAAACCCUAAUUUCCUGCACAAUCAAACAAACAAUGUACAAGGUGCUUCUUUUUCUACUGUUUAAGUUUCGAUGUUAAUUAAUUUAUGGGCAGAGAAGAAACAAAAAAACUCUAUCAUCGAUAGCUACAGUUCUUCAAGGAUAAGGUAAUUAUUUUUUUCAUUAAGGAUAAUGAAUCUUGAUCAUGAGUUCAGGAAACAUUACAAUUGUGCGUUUUAGCCCUCUCACUAAUCAUAGAAGCAGCAAAAGAAUGUGAAUGCUUCGUUAGGAAGCAAAGAUUUUAAUGCAGGUGGUGAAUGUUUGAGCAACUGGGCAUUGUCCCAACCGGCCUCACUGCAGUGUAGUAAGCUUUUAGUUUGUUUUUGUUAUUAUUAUAUGCUUAAUAAUUUGCAAUGAUGGGACUCAAUGAUUAAUUAAUUAACAAACGAAUUUUGUUGGAGUCUUUUUAUUUAACAUUUUUUUUUUUUGCCUUGUUUUCUUCAUUAGCACGGGGAUGUGGAAGAGACUACAGCUUCAUAUUAAGUUUGAUUCAGAAUAGAAGACAAAAAGGGUCUGCACAUAGCUAGGGGCAUUGGGGAACACGAAUGACAUGAUCGAUAUCACAGCGCUCAAUGCUCAUACAGCACUACUUUUCUUUAUCACCAUUCUUGUUCACGUAUUCAUAUUACUUGCACCCAAAUUCACUUUAUUAUUUUCAACGCAACCCAUGUAUCCAUUCCAAACUAUCUUACUAUAAUAUGGUCAUAAAAAAAACUAUGCUUGUAACAAAAUACAAAUUAUGACCUCGUGAAUUGUCAUAAAAUACAAAAGACCAUACUAUGCUUGUAAUACAUUGUCCUUUUUUUUUAAUCAAAUUUCUCGGGGUAAAAGCUUUCAUUUUGACUA
Glycine soja is the source of this 2488-nucleotide long non-coding RNA. RefSeq lists it as uncharacterized. NCBI's taxonomy places the organism in Eukaryota, Viridiplantae, Streptophyta, Magnoliopsida, Fabales, Fabaceae. The transcript is spliced from 2 exons. The record is from RefSeq and is a predicted model, not a curated record.